This 21-nucleotide non-coding RNA is filed under the name Caenorhabditis elegans. The record is from RNAcentral. Lineage: Eukaryota; Metazoa; Nematoda; Chromadorea; Rhabditida; Rhabditidae.
UGCAUUCUUUUUAAAAUUUCU